CAACUCGACUACAUGAAGCUGGAAUCGCUAGUAAUCGCAGAUCAGAAUGCUGCGGUGAAUACGUUCCCGGGUCUUGUACACACCGCCCGUCACACCAUGGGAGUCGGAAAUGCCCGAAGCCGGUGACCAAACCAAUAAGGAAGGAGCCGUCGAAGGCAGGUCUGAUAACUGGGGUGAAGUCGUAACAAGGUACC
This 194-nucleotide ribosomal RNA is filed under the name uncultured bacterium. Its description in RNAcentral is "partial 16S ribosomal RNA". It matches the Rfam family "Bacterial small subunit ribosomal RNA", at positions 1308 to 1500 of the family's 1533-position model. The record is from RNAcentral.